Molecule: long non-coding RNA, 3379 nt
Filed under: Nicotiana tabacum (common tobacco)
Lineage: Eukaryota; Viridiplantae; Streptophyta; Magnoliopsida; Solanales; Solanaceae
Description: long non-coding RNA (NTAB_LNC001603)
Source: RNAcentral
ACAAAUGUUAGAAAACGUUCAGGAGGUAUUCAACUAAAUUUUACACAAAAAACUUUUCAUUUGAAGGAAAAACCAUGGACUUCUCAUCUUUUUCAUCCCACCUUUAAUCUAUCUAAUACUAAAUCAAAUCAACUAUACAUUCUUUAAAAUCCAAAAUCUUCUACCAGCACCAUUCCAGUGGCCAUUAAUAGGAAACAUACCAAAUUUCAUAGGCAAAAAUCCCCAUAUCAAAUGUGUAUAAUAUAGUAAGANNNNNNNNNNNNNNNNNNNNNNNNNCAGUACAUUAUAAUAUAGUACUCUUUCUAUUAGAAAGUUACAUGAGUAUAUCUUGAAAUAACAUCAUACGAAUUUUUCCCUACUUCGAUCCGCCGUUACGUAUCGUCGCAAUCAACGGGUGUUAAAGGGAUUGUCAAGAGAAUCGGUUCAGGUAUGUUAAGGCUAUCCCUUCUUUCUUUUGGCAUGAUCUAUACGACACAUGCGAAACGAGCAAAUGCACAACUUACAUAAAUUACUUUAUUCGUAGAAAUGCUAGAGAUGUAUAUAUUCUUAUUUUUCCAUGUGUCAUAUUAUUCUAUCAUCUGUUUAUGGGUCUCAAAAAUACAUAAAUUGGUAAAGUUUAUUUCAUGAUAUUAAUCAGAGGCAUAAUGGUCUUAUGACGUACUGAGAGAUUUUAUUAACGUAUUUCAUAUGCAUUUCAUGUAUUUAUACAUGCACAUUGACCCAUGACUAGAUGGCAUUAUAUACGCGUAUAUAUAUAUAUAUAUAUAUAUAUAUAUGGGAUAUGAAAAAGGUUAUGGCGUUAUAUACGCACCACCACCUGUGCGGGUAAUUGGUUAAUUAUUAAUUAGUGGGAGAUUAACUAGUUAAUUAAGGAUUAGUAGAUAAUUAAUUAAGAUAUUGGGAUAAGGCCUAACAAGCCAAAACGUGACAGCCCCUUUCUUUCAUUAAAUGACUCUUACCUUAUAAUUGAAAGGUGUCACAAUUGAGUAAGAUUACGGCUUAGUCAUUACUAUGUGGGCCCCACUCCAUUUAAUGCAUAAAACCCCUCUAAUUCAAAGAGGGGUCUUAUAUACAAAUGUUAGAAAACGUUCAGGAGGUAUUCAACCAAAUUUAACACAAAAAACUUUUCAUUUGAAGGAAAAACCAUGGACUUCUCAUCUUUUUCAUCCCACCUUUAAUCUAUCUAAUACUAAAUCAAAUCAACUCUACAUUCUUUAAAAUCCAAAAUCUUCUACCAGCACCAUUCCAGUGACCAUUAAUAGAAAACAUACUAAAUUUCAUAGGCAAAAAUCCCUAUAUCAAAUGUGUAUAAUAUAGUAAGGCAGUACAUUAUAAUAUAGUACUCUUUUUAUUAGAAAGUUACGUGAGUAUAUCUUGAAAUAACAUCAUACGGAUUUUCUCCUACUUCGAUCCGUCGUUACGUGUCGUCGCAAUCAACGGGUGUUAAAGGGAUUGUCAAGAGAAUCGGUUCAGGUAUGUUAAGGCUAUCCCUUCUUUCUUUUGGCAUGAUCUAUACGACACAAGCGAAAUGAGCAAAUGCACAACUUCCAUAAAUUACUCUAUUCAUAGAAAUGCUCGAGAUGUAUAUAUUCUUAUUUUUCCAUGUGUCAUAUUAUUCUAUCAUCUGUUCAUGAGUCUAAAAAAUACAUAAGUUGGUAAAGUUUAUUUCAUGAUAUUAAUCAGAGGCAUAAUGAUCUUAUGACGUACCGAAAGAUUUUAUUAAUGUAUUUCAUAUGCAUUUUAUGUAUUUAUAAAUGCACAUUGACCCAUGACCAGAUGGCGUUAUAUACAUGUAUAUAUAAAUGUAUAUAUAUAUAUAUGUAUAUGGGAUAUGGAAAAGGUUAUGGCAUUAUAUAUGCACCACCACCUGAUCAGCUGGUAUACGUUGAUGAUUUUGCCCACAGUGGCCGAGAUGAUUUUAUGGGAUGCCCUCAGAGGCUUAAUGAUAUUAUGAACACAUGUACCUACGCACGACAUGACAUUCAUAUGCAUAUGCAUGACACUAUGAGUAUUUCAUGAUUUACAGAGUUAUUCAGACUUACAUGUCGAGUCUUUUACUCCACGUUUCUCUCAUGUCUAUUAGUUACUGAUUUUCAUUCCUUACAUACUCGGUACAUUAUUUGUACUGACGUCCCUUUUACCUGGGGACGCUGCGUUUCAUGCUCGCAGUUCCCGAUAGACAGGUCAAGAGCCCUCCAAGCAGACUAUCAGGUCAGCGGAAGAUGUUGGUGCACUCCAUUUGCUUCGGAGUUGCUUGUUUAGUUAGUAUGAUUUAGACGUGUAUUGUUUGGUAUGGCAGGACUUUGACCCGACCUUUGUGAAAAUUAUGUAUUCUUAGAGGCUUGUAGACAGAUGUCAUGUACGUAAAAGAUUGUAUGGCCUUGUCGGCCUAUGUUCAGUAUACGAGUGGUUAUUUUGGUCUUAUAGGCCCGCAUGUCUUAUGUAUAAGUUGGUAUUACAUGUUGUAUUCUACUUAUCUCACAGCAGCCUUCCGGCUCCGUUAUCUAAGAUAGUAUGACAUGAAAAGAUACGAUAUGCUAGUACUCGGUUGAGUUAAGGUACCAGGUGCCCAUCGCGGCCCAUCGGUUUGGGUCAUGACAGGGCCGUACGUCUCGACAGGAUUAUGUACCACUCAUAUGGGAGCGGGCCGUUCACCUCGGCAAUACAAUAGAUGUAUCUAUGGUUCGGCAUUUCUAUAAAAUAUUCUUAUGAAAUCAUGCGUAAUAAUUGAUAACAAGGCUGUAUAUCUGUGAGUUUUCCUGAUUUGAACUGUGGCGACCUAUCUUGUGAGAUCCAUUAUAUAUACUCUGUUUGAGGAGGUAGCUACUAGCUGAUAGUUUGAGUUAUUACUAAGAGGAGAAUUGUACCACGUAUUUAUACUUGUUAUUUCGUUUAUUCCCCUAACUCACAUUUGUUACUUCUAUUAUAUCUGUCUUAUUGGACCACUAGUAAGUGUUGAUGUCGACCCCUCGUCACUACUUCUCUGGGGUUAGGCUAGAUACUUAUUGGGUACGCGUUAAUUUACGUACUCAUACUACACUUGCUGCACUUAUUGUGCAGGUACAUAUAUGUCUGGUGGUCUUUUGGGCGUAGAGGCACGACUAUUGCGAGGACUUUACCGUGAACUGCAUUUCAUAUUACGAUCCACAACCUGCAGAGACUCCAUCAGAGUUAUUUAUAUUUCUCCUGUCUAAUUUGUAUUCCGGACAGAUGUUGUAUUUUAUUAUAUUUCCUAGUUGAUGCUCAUGCACUUAUAACACCGGAUUUUGGGGGUUCCUACGGGUUGUUCAUUAUUGUAGCUCGUGUAAAUAUUAUCAUUCACUCUGUAAAUUUUAUUUCACACUAUCUAAUUAAUAAAAAUUAUGAUUUUAAAGUACUA